RNAcentral lists this ribosomal RNA (211 nucleotides) under uncultured bacterium. RNAcentral describes it as "partial 16S ribosomal RNA". It matches the Rfam family "Bacterial small subunit ribosomal RNA", at positions 568 to 775 of the family's 1533-position model. The record is from RNAcentral.
CGCGUAGGCGGUCAUGCAAGUCAGGUGUGAAAUCCCCAGGCUUAACCUGGGAACUGCGCUUGAAACUGCAUAGCUUGAGGCCGGGAGAGGAAAGUGGAAUUCCUGGUGUAGCGGUGAAAUGCGUAGAUAUCAGGAGGAACACCGGUGGCGAAAGGCGGCUUUCUGGACCGGGUUCUGACGCUGAAGCGCGAAAGCGUGGGGGAGCAAACGG